This 497-nucleotide ribosomal RNA is filed under the name uncultured bacterium. RNAcentral describes it as "partial 16S ribosomal RNA". It matches the Rfam family "Bacterial small subunit ribosomal RNA", at positions 28 to 507 of the family's 1533-position model. The record is from RNAcentral.
GAUGAACGCUGGCGGCGUGCCUAAUACAUGCAAGUCGAGCGAACGGAUGAGAAGCUUGCUUCUCUGAUGUUAGCGGCGGACGGGUGAGUAACACGUGGAUAACCUACCUAUAAGACUGGGAUAACUUCGGGAAACCGGAGCUAAUACCGGAUAAUAUUUUGAACCGCAUGGUUCAAAAGUGAAAGACGGUCUUGCUGUCACUUAUAGAUGGAUCCGCGCUGCAUUAGCUAGUUGGUAAGGUAACGGCUUACCAAGGCAACGAUGCAUAGUCGACCUGAGAGGGUGAUCGGCCACACUGGAACUGAGACACGGUCCAGACUCCUACGGGAGGCAGCAGUAGGGAAUCUUCCGCAAUGGGCGAAAGCCUGACGGAGCAACGCCGCGUGAGUGAUGAAGGUCUUCGGAUCGUAAAACUCUGUUAUUAGGGAAGAACAUAUGUGUAAGUAACUGUGCACAUCUUGACGGUACCUAAUCAGAAAGCCACGGCUAACUACGUG